RNAcentral lists this ribosomal RNA (433 nucleotides) under uncultured bacterium. Its description in RNAcentral is "partial 16S ribosomal RNA". It matches the Rfam family "Bacterial small subunit ribosomal RNA", at positions 29 to 507 of the family's 1533-position model. The record is from RNAcentral.
AACGAACGCUGGCGGCAUGCCUAACACAUGCAAGUCGAACGAGACCUUCGGGUCUAGUGGCGCACUGGGGCGUAGCGCGUUGGAACCUGCCCUUAGGUUCGGAAUAACUCCCCGGAUGGGGUGCGAAUACCGGAUAAUGUCUUCCGACCAAAGAUUUAGCGCCAUUGGAUGGUCCGGCGUUGGAUUGGCUUGUUAUUAGGCUAAAAGCCUUCUAGAGCGACGAUCCGUAGCUGGGUAGAGAGGCUGAUCAGCCACACUGGUACUGAGACACGGCCGGGACUAUUACGCGAGGGGGGAGUGGCGAAUAUAGGAAAGUCGGCGAAAGGAUGAUGGAGUAAUGAUGGGUAAGCGAUGUAGGCUGGAGGGUAGUAAAGUUAUUUUACCCGGGACGAUAAUGACGGUACCGGGAGAAUAAGCUCCGGCUAACUCCGUG